Molecule: RNA transcript, 2069 nt
Organism: Diprion similis
Lineage: Eukaryota; Metazoa; Arthropoda; Insecta; Hymenoptera; Diprionidae
Gene name: NEDD4-binding protein 1-like
Exons: 8
Source: RefSeq, a predicted model, not a curated record
UCUGCUCAGGUCAGGUGGGUCCAGGUUCAGUUAACCAAAACUGUCAGAUUCAUAGUAUUAAUUUAAGGCAUAACACGUGCCUGAUACGUGUUUUUGAUUACUGGGUUUCUAAAAUGACUUUCAAAACUGAUGAGAAAAUCAAACUACGAGUAAUCCGUCUCUACAAGUCGUACCAAAUGAUAUCUUGCUUGACCGUUGAAUUGUAAAAUGUACCAAAGUUUGUUGUUCUUUUUUGUAUUCUUUGUAUGAUUAUUAUAAGUAAAAGCAUUACUUCAAUAUCAGUAAUGGUUGUUAGAAAGUCUUAUUGAAACAACUGGGGCAGCUAAUGGACAAUAUGCCGAACAAGCAAAGUACUAAUGUCGAAGAUUCGACUUUAGUAAUCAAACUGGAUGUCUCACCACGGAAGGUACCAAUUCAAAAGAGACAAGGAGACUCCAGUCUUGCUUUAAAGCCAAGUGCCAAAAGGCGAAAGCUAAAUAACAAAACUUACUAUGAGAGUCCAUUAAAGCAUUUGGGAAAAAGCAUAGACAAAACCAUUUCGGCCGUAAGUCUAGACGAAAGCGUCAUUGUAAUAGAAGAAUACAUGGAUGUUACAGCAUCAAAGAGUUCAGCUUGCCCACAAAGUAGUAGUAAGCAAUUGACUUGUCCAGAUGACAGCAUCAUUAUUUUAAGUGACAAUGAAGGUGUAUCGGAAGAAACGACCCACGUCAAAAAUAAGAAUCAUAGAAUCAUUCAAGACAAAGAUUCGUCCAUGAUAAAUACAGAAGUGUCGGAGGUUGCAUCAGUUGAAAAACGAAUGACAAGGAAAAGGAAUAAGCGAGCCGCAGCUCGCAACGCCAAAUUUGGGGCUAAGACUACAGUUAGAAAAGCAGACUGUCAAGAUAAGGGAAAUCUAAUGCCAAAAAUGCUAUCUAUAUCAAUUGACUCUGAAGAUGAGAAUAUAAUUCCUAAUGAUGACACCACUAAACCACAAGCAAAAAUUGCAACUGUCAACAAUUCUGAAAGUCUUUCGAUAUCUAAGAAUGUUCCUCCAACAAAUUCCCAGGGUGAUAUUAAGGAAAGCACAAAAAAGACUAAAACCAGUCCUCUUCGCACAGAAUCUUCAAGUCAAUCAGCAGCUUCGCCAGAUGAUAUUUUAAUAGUCUGGACACAAACGGAAGGAUGUCAUACAGCUGCAGAACAACUUGCUUCACUAUGUGUUACAGAGGAACCUUCAAACCUAGAAGAAAGAUCAGGCUACUGUAUUGAUACACAGGGCGAUCCGUCCAGUUUUCGUAAUUUGAAUGAAAAACAUAAUAAAAAUAAAGAAAGAAAACGCGAGAAGACAAAACAACGUCAAAACCCGAACUGGGCCAGGUUCACAGAGUACCAAUCCUCCACAAAUCUACCUCCGAAGGAACCAAACAUUGGAUUGAAUCAGCCUGAAAUAAAUGCAGUUGGAAGAUGUUAUACCAAGGAAAUCGUUGUCAAACGACCCGGGAGCUUGCGGGAUAUUGUCAUCGAUGGUUGCAACAUUGCAAUGGCAUACACAAAUCACAAAUACUUCUCGGAAACCGGGCUCAAGUUGGUAAUAGAUUACUUUAAAUUAAGAGGCCAUACUGUCAAAGCCUUUAUCCCCCAACAUAAACGAUCCAUGAAGCACCAGCUCCUUGAGCAGCUUUAUUCCGAAGGCAUUGUGGUCUUCACACCCAGUCGACACAUAGGAGGAAAAAGAAUCAGUUCACAUGAUGACAGAUAUAUUUUGGAAUACGCUACAAUGUGUGAUGGGAUAGUGGUAUCACUGGACCAAUACCGAGACUUGUACGCAGAGAAACCUGAGUGGAAAAAUACAAUUGAAAACCGUCUGUUAGUGCCCACGUUUGUUGGGAAAUGCGUCAUGUUUCCUGAAGAUCCGCUGGGAAGAAGUGGUCCAAAACUCGAAGAAUUCUUGAGGCACUAGCAACGACUGUGGUUUUUAAUACCAUAGGAGCACGAUAUCGUAUUAAUAUGGCAAGCUGACAUGAUGCUGAACGUCACUUUUUGUUCUUCUUAGCAUAUAUGGAGUGAUAGCAUCAUUCAGCAUUGUAGCC